GAAAGAGAGAGAGAGAGAAAUCGAAUAAAAGAGAGAGGGGAAGAAUAGCUUUAUAUACACGCACACAUGAAUAUACAUAUCGUCUCUCCUUUCUCCUAUCUCUCUUCUCCACUCUCUUUC
RNAcentral lists this non-coding RNA (120 nucleotides) under Amorphochlora amoebiformis. Lineage: Eukaryota; Cercozoa; Chlorarachniophyceae. The record is from RNAcentral.